AGAGAGAACAACUGCAUAGAAAUUCAGUUUAAUUUGCAGCACAGACUCUGAUGCAGAAAACUCGAAGAUUAGAGAUCCUGUUUGCCCCACACAAAUGUAAUGUGCACAGUAGCACUAAGUACAAUGAAGGUGUGAAUGAGCAGCCAGGAGCAGAGAUGGCCUAAGAUGACUUAAGCAGAACUACUGCUGAAGAUGUAACCACAGGCUCAAAGUUCAUGCUACUUCUGGUAACUGUCUUGGAUGGCUCAGAGAUAGGACUGCUGCUAGACAGGAGUACUAUUGGAAGGCCUUGGAACAGACCCCCCACUCAAGGGUUAAAAGAUGGCUAUUACUAAAAUCCAAAACAUUUAUUCUUUCCUUGCUCAUCUUCUCUUCUCAGAUGUCAUCAUAUGAAUGCAAUAUGACACAUCAAAAAACCCCAACA
RNAcentral lists this long non-coding RNA (424 nucleotides) under Dromaius novaehollandiae (emu). RNAcentral describes it as "lncRNA (ENSDNVG00000012698.1)". Lineage: Eukaryota; Metazoa; Chordata; Aves; Casuariiformes; Dromaiidae. The record is from RNAcentral.